RNAcentral lists this long non-coding RNA (437 nucleotides) under Mus musculus (house mouse). RNAcentral's name for it is "predicted gene, 37865". Lineage: Eukaryota; Metazoa; Chordata; Mammalia; Rodentia; Muridae. The record is from RNAcentral.
GGCCUUGCUCUUAUGUCAUCUGACUAAAGGUUUCAUAGACCAAAGAUAACCAUCCAACCUGUUGGAAUACUGAAACAAUUGCUGCCUGCUGUCCACACACGACAUAAAAUAUGUGGAUUUCCUAAAUUCUGAAAAAAAGAUUUGGAAGCUGAUCAAGCAAUACUGGAACACCCUCUUCUCCAGAAGAGACAUCCUGGCCUCCAUGCAGAGGAAUGUGUGGAUGGACAUAUAUUUAAGGAAGACACUAAACCAGAAACUACUACAUUACACCCUCUCAGAAGACUUCUAAGAUUGUUGUCAUGCCUACCAGAGACAUUCAGAUGAUGUGUAUUCUUGAUUGUGAUUUCAUGUUUGGAGCUGAUGAAGGAGUUUGAAGUCUCCAGAGCAGCAAGGGGAGUGGGGAGUAGAACUCAUCAUCUUUAGGUCACUCAUCAUCG